This 34344-nucleotide long non-coding RNA is filed under the name Triticum aestivum (bread wheat). RNAcentral's name for it is "long non-coding RNA (TAES_LNC019499)". Lineage: Eukaryota; Viridiplantae; Streptophyta; Magnoliopsida; Poales; Poaceae. The record is from RNAcentral.
CGAAGGGAAGAAUCCCUUUCUCCUCUCUUCUCCAGCCAGCCUACUCCCUCCUCCCUUCCUGCCCCACUCCUCCCUAGGUACGUCCUUAAUGCACCAUGCCCUUCACCACCUCCAUGGUUGCCCUUUGAUUUAGGGCUUUGAGGAAGAAGGAAAGGAGACAAGAAGAGGGAGAACAAGAAAGCUUCCCCAACUUUUCCCUUCACCAAAUCUUUAUGAUUUGACCAUAGAGGUGAGGUUCCCCAUCAUUUAUGACCUCUCAUCCUCUAUUAGUGAUGAUUCACGGAGUAUAGGGUUAGGACUUGAAACCUAUGUGAAGGAAUUGGGGAAAAAGUUGUUCGUGUUGCUGUUUCUGGGCGUUCAGAUAUGGAAACCAGCAAUUUCGAGUUCCUAUAUGCAAAAUUAGGUGGGCGUCAUGUGGAAUGUUUUGUAGGUAUUGUUCCCACUAUCGUUUUGACUGGUAAUUCACUCAAUUUGGUUCAGCCGUUUAGCCGGGGCGAUAAAAACAAGUUGCUGCUCUGUUUCUGCAAAACAGCAUUUCUAUGGUUUUUGCCCAUAGCUUUUCAGGAUCUUCGAGGGCUGAUAAAUUGAUGCUGUACAAUUGUAUAGCUACCUGAUACCUUUUAGUUCAUAGAUCAAUUUUAUUUACUUACUCCCCAUGAGUAUUGGUUUUGCUAUGGAUUUCCAAAGGCGGCUACUCAUUAUUCCUGAAUCUGAAAACAGCAGAGAUGUUGGCCUGAAAGCCGCAGUGACUUGGUGCUGCCUGGUGGCCAUGGCCGUGUGGGCGGCGUGGUAGCCAGGGUGUGGCGUUCGGUGGCGGUGAAUAUUGGUCGGGGUGAAAACCUAUUCUAUCUUCGGAUUCACCGGCGACGGCGAAGCUCGUUCCCUUCUUGAAGGCGUCGCCGCGACUCUCGCUGCCCAUCGUGUUGCUCCGGGGGAAACUCUGAUCCUUGGGUCAGGCGGUGGCGGCGCUUCGGUGUCGUAACCUUCCUGUAGGCACCGCCUUGGAGCCCACGGUGCCUCGUAUGUAGCUUCUUCUCUAGGCGGUGGCGUGUUCACGGUUGAGGCCCCAAGGGCUCUUGUAGUGCUAGGGGUGGUGUUGCUACGCUCAGCACCUAUGUAUCAUGCCUUGGGUAUGUGUGUGUGUUGUGGUGGCAUGUGUUGUACUGGGUUGUUGGUGAUCUUUGCUUUAUAUAUAAAGCGGGGCGAAAGCCUUUUUCGGUAAACAACAGAGAUGUUUUUGCUGGUUUUGACCCCCAUAACCACAUAAUCUGAGGUUUGAAUAGUUGGAGUUAUUUGUAGAUGAGUUCCCCAUGAAUCCAUAGCCAUCUCGUUUGCAUGUUUUAGAGCUUCCUAGCUUGAGCUAUGGUUUUUUCCUUGAAGGGACAGCAAAGGGUUGCUUCCCGGGAAUGCAAUUAGGUGCGUUUUUGUGUGUGCUUUGCAUAGCUUGCUUUGAUGCAAUCUUUAAAACUUGUAUGUAUGUCUCUACAGCAGGUUGCAGCACCAAUCCACCGGAGAUAGCCUCGCGCCACCUCCCUCGCAACGGUUGAGGCGAGUACACCGGGCAACAAGACCUAGAUUGCUCCCUUAAUAUUAUGUUCAUGUUCACGUUAUUCCUUUACAUUCAUGCAAUGGUGAACAUAGAAUUCCCUAGUGUACAUUUCAAUACACCAUACCACUGGUAUGUGAUAGGGAUUGGUUUUUCCUGGUUCUUGAUAACAAAUCCAUCAUGAGUGUCGGAGUAAAUGGCCACGGGUAGCAUAACCGACUACCCCUGGUUCUUCAGAAAAAUUAUCAGGCCUUUGGGCCUUCAAGCACUCCAAGCAUUUGGGCCGCCUUCCCUGGCCGGCUACUACUAAAGCCGACUCCCGGAAGGCGACCCAGCCUCACCAACUCCUCCCCAGGAUGACUACGGGGUGGCCGACUGCAAGAAGACGGCCACGAAGGACGCCGACUCCUAGGAGCCGGCCAAGAACACAACCACUCCAAACCAUUCCCACAUAACGGCAAUGUGACGGGGUGUGGCCACAUUGCGUCCCACUACCCCCGAGGCCCGAGGCGGGCGUGGCUACAGGAGGCCGUACGGGACGGACGUCUCCCGUGCGGCUCGGCACUGUAGCCAUGCUAGCCUCGACGUCAUCCACGACCCACUCCUGUACGGCCCAAGGACUGCCGGCCCCUUCAGCCAGAGAGAGGCGUGAAGGCGGCCCGGCCUUUCCCAGUCGGCCGAGAGCGUAGCCGGCCUCCAGAAGCCGGCUACUCCCUUCCUCGAAGCAGGAGCCCCAUUAAGGAGACAAGACGAGGUAAGGCUACAGUGAUAGCCCCCGAGGCGGCCCACUGUAACCACGCUUACCUCGACAAAGCCCUCGUCAUCACAGGCGAGGCUACAGUAAGAAGCCACCGACAAGACCCUAGGCGGUGGGGCCGGCCUGUCGACCAAGUAGCCGGCAGCCGGCGGGACCCAGCAGCCGGCGGGACCCAGCAGCCGGCGGAGAAGCCGGCGAGCGUAGACACUGACGACUGGGACCAGUUCCCAUUCGGAUUACCAUUGUACCCCCGGGGGGUAGGCCUAUAUAAACCCCCCGGAGCACCCAUGCAAAGGGUUCGCACCCAGGCAUAGUUGGCCUCUGAGCAUAGAGUCGCCUUCUAAGCGUAGCCCACACACCAUAGAUAGAGAGAAGCAAGAGCUAGCCUUGUUCUUCUUCUCUCUUGAUCUCAACAGCUCAAGGAGCGAUUGUAGCCAUCUUUUAUCGAUCUAGUGAUCAUGCGGAGACCCCGCAGAGCAGGACUAGGGGUGUUAUCUCCUCGGAGAGCCCCGAACUUGGGUAAGAUUCGCCGGCGUACAUGUCUUCGCCUCAUCCCGUUUCCAGGUACCGGCGACGUUUUAUUGGCUCCCACAAUGAUAAGCCAUCCCUUGGCAUAUGUCGCACCAACCACCCGACAUUUGGCGCCCACCGUGGGGCCAGGUGCACCGUCGUCCGGAGACCUGUUCUGGACGGGAACCCUUUUCCUCCCCCGCGAGCGCAGCCAGCCUGCUGCGCCCGGUGGCGCUUGCCUUGACGCGCUGCAAGGCGUCGACGACGCCUGUGCAGCGAGCCGCCUCGCCGACCUGCUCGGCGAGACUCGCAUCUCCGACGAGCCUGCGUCCGACACAGGCACCGACUACCCUGAGAGCCGCCUCGUCAGCCUCCUCGACCAGCUUCACGUCUCCAGCGAGCCUACUGCAGACGUGGAGUCGGUCGGCUCCACCGACCCGAUGCUCAUCGACUCCAACACCGCGUCGCUCGACGCCUACCCCUCCGACGUGGUGGUCUUUGACGUCCCCCUCCCUCGAGCUGACAGCGGCAGCAGCGCUGUCACCGAAGUGCUGGUCAUCAGCCACGUCUCCAACUCGGGCGAAAAUGCCCGCGACGCUCAGCAAGCGGCGAUGCACGACCUCUCUGCCCCCAUCCCGGCCGACGCCGACCCCGAGACCCUGGAAGCACGCCGGCUUGCCCUCAUUGCGGAGGGAAAGAAGAUAGCCUCGAUGAGACGCCUCACCGAGGCCCACCAGUGCGAAGUCGACCGCGCCGCCUUCGGCACGCCACCACCUAGCGGCCCGAGCUGAGCCGGCUUCGUCCAGAAGCGCGGCGCAGCCGUUGCCAGCAUGUUGGGCGUAGAUCGCCCCGUCUACGCCACCCCGCUCGAGAAUCUGCAAGCCGCUCAGGCGGCUGCAGAGGAGCUCAAUGGGCUGGGAGCCGAUGAGCUCCCCUACAUGACAAGACGGAUCCAGCAGCCGAUCGACGCGGCUGUAGAACGGCACGAAGCCGGCGCCCGUGCUGAUAGUCAUCCCCCGCGCAGGGAGCACGCCGCGACGUCCCGCUCGCCGACUGCGAGCGGCGCGCGCCAGAAGAAAGACAAGGAGCCGGCUGCCAGCCGCAGCCGGACUCGCAUCACCAUCGAGCGCGACGCGGAUGGCCGCCCUCGAGCUGUAGAGCACCAAGAAAAUAUGCCUCCUCCCCCGCCUCGGAGAGAAAGACGCCUCACUCCGCCGCCUGUCACACAUCCGACUCUUGGCGACCAACUCGGCCGCCGAGAAGGAGUCGGCGAGAACGACGCCCGCCACAGGAUCGACCGCCUUGCUCGAUCCUUCGCAUUAGAAGAAGAAGACGAUGUCGGCCCGCCAUGCUUUGUCCCCCGCAUCCGCGACGAGCCCUUCCCCAAAGGGUUCUCGCUCCCGAGAGACACGCCCAAGUACAACGGCUCGGUGAAGCCGGAAGAUUGGCUCAUCGACUACUCCACGGCCGUCAGCAUCACCAACGGCAAUCGGCGCGUCGCCGUGAAGUACGUCCCCCUGAUGCUGCAGGGCACGGCGCGCACAUGGCUCAACAGCCUCAAGCCCUACAGCAUCAACAGUUGGCUGGACUUCACCGAAGUUUUCAUCCGCAACUUCACCAGCACCUACAAGCGGCCUCCCAAGCCUCGCCAGCUCUCCCUCUGCGUCCAGGGGCCCAACGACUCGACCCGCGACUACCUCACGCAAUGGGCCGAGCUCCGCAACUCUUGCGAGGGAGUGCACGAGGUCCAGGCCAUCGUGUACUUCACCGCCGGGUGCCGGGAGGGCACCCUCCUCAAGCACCGACUCCUCUGCGACGAGCCGGCUACCCUCGAUGAGUUGCUGGUCAUCGCCGACAAAUAUGCCACUACCUACUCCUCCAUGAAGACCGAGCUCCGAGUGGACACCUCGGGGAAAGUAGUUGCUCCGGCUCCCAAGACGCCGGCUGGUGACCCUAACCGGCGCCCCUACCAGAACGACCACAAGCGCAAGGGCCCCAUGCCGACUUCCUCCAGUCGGCAGGUGGCCACAGUUGAAGACGAGCAGCCCGAAGAGCGGCCCGCUCCCAAGAAGAAGGGUGGCCGGCCGCCCUGGCAACCGUCUUUCUCCUACGAACAAGCACUCGAUGCCCCCUGCAAGUUCCACAGCGGCGCGAAGCCGUCCAACCAUACAACACGAAAAUGCCACUGGCUCACCCACAUCACCAAGGGCGAAGGAAUGUUGCCGCCUCCGCCUCCCGGCCCGCCGCCUCCAGCCCCCCAGCAGCCGGCGGCUCGGCCGGCGGUCGGCGCCAUCCAAGACGAGUUCCCCGAAGAGCACGCCGCCUACGUUGUCUUCACAAGUCAGGCCGACGACAAGCGCAGCCAACGCCGGCAGCACCAAGAAGUGAACGUCGUCGCCUCUAGCACCGCCGAGUUCAUGCACUGGUCGGAAAAGCCGAUCAGCUGGAGCCAGGCCGACCACCCAGAGGUCAUGCCUUCGCCUGGCUCCUAUGCUAUGGUCUUAGACGUCACCCUUGCGACGGAGAGGCGAGCUGCCAGAUUUUCCCGCGUCCUGAUAGACGGCGGAAGCAGUAUCAACAUACUGUACCGCGAUACCAUGGACAAGCUGAACAUCAAAGCGAAGCAGCUCAUGCCGAGCCGCACCGUCUUCAUGGUAUCGUACCCGGCCUGUCUUGCUCUCCAAUCGGCAAGAUCAAAAUGGAUGUUCUCUUCGGAGACAAAGAUCAUUUUCGCCGGGAAGCAAUAUGGUUCGAGGUAGUGGAUUUGGAGAGCCCCUAUCAUGCACUGCUUGGCCGACCUGCUUUGGCCAAGUUCAUGGCUGUGCCCCACUACGCCUACCUGAAGAUGAAGAUGCCGAGCUAGAAGGGGAUCAUCACGGUAGCCGGCGACUACAAGAAGUCCAUCGAGUGUGCCAUGGCAAGUAGCCGGCUGGCCGAGUCCCUCGUGGUGGCAGAAGAGAAGAAGAUGUUGGAACGGGUUGUGGCCAUGGCCGGCAAGCAGUCGGCCUUGUCCCCCAACCCCAAGGAUUGUGAUGCGCAGGGCUCCUUCCAGCCUGCAAAAGAGACGAAGAAGAUACCUCUAGACCCGGAGCACCCGGAGAGGUUCGCCGUGAUUGGGGCGAACUUGGACAGUAAAUAGGAAGGCGAGCUCGUCGACUUCCUCCUUGAGAAUCGAGACAUCUUUGCAUGGUGCCCAAAGGACAUGCCAGGUGUCCCGAAGGAUUUCGCCGAGCACAAAUUACAUGUCCGAGAUGAUGCGAAGCCGGUCAAGCAACCCCUCCGCCGACUGUCAGAAGAGAAGCAAAGAAUCGUGGGAGAAGAGAUAGCCCGGCUCCUUGCAGCAGGCUUUAUCAUGGAAGUGUUCUUUCCAGAGUGGCUUGCCAACCCAGUUCUGGUUCUGAAGAAGAAUAACAAGUGGCGCAUGUGUAUAGACUACACGAGUUUGAACAAGGCCUGCCCAAAGGAUCCGUUUGCUCUGCCACGGAUUGAUCAAGUGAUAGACUCCACAGCCGGCUGCGAGAUGUUAAGUUUUUUGGAUGCAUACUCAGGGUAUCACCAGAUCAAGUUGGACCCUGCUGACCGCCUGAAGACUGCCUUCAUCACACCCUUUGGAGCUUUCUGCUACCUGACAAUGACAUUUGGCUUGAGAAAUGCCGGUGCCACUUUUCAGCGUUGCAUGCAGAAAUGUCUCUUGAAACAACUCGGCAGAAAUGCCCACGUCUAUGUAGACGACAUUGUGGUGAGGACACAGAAGCGCAGUACCUUGCUGGAAUCAAGCUCAAUCCCGAGAAGUGCGUGUUCGGAGUGCCAGCCGGCCAGCUGCUAGGCUUCCUGGUCUCCGAACGCGGCAUUGAGUGCAACCCCGUCAAGAUCAAGGCCAUCGAGAGGAUGGAGAUUCCCACCAAACUGCGAGAUGUGCAGAAGUUCACUGGCGGCUUAGCCUCCCUGAAUCAUUUUAUCAGCCGACUAGGAGAGAAGUCCCUUCCCCUGUACCGACUCAUGAAGAAGUCCAGUCACUUUGAGUGGAAUGAUCAAGCCGACCAAGCCUUCCAUGAGUUGAAGAAAAUGUUGACCACUCCGCCUGUCCUGGCUGCGCCGACUGAGAAGGAGCCCAUGCUCCUCUACAUCGCCGCGACUAGCCGAGUCGUCAGCACUGUUGUUGUGGUCCAGCGCCCGGAGGAAGGCCGAGCCCAGCUGGUCCAGAGGCCGGUCUACUACCUCAGCGAAGUACUAUCCAGCUCAAAGCAAAACUACCCGCACUACCAAAAGAUGUGCUAUGGGGUGUACUUCGCUGCCAAGAAAUUGAAGCCCUACUUCCAAGAGCACCCCAUCACGGUUGUGUGCACUGCCCCGCUCGCCGAGAUCAUAGGCAGCCGGGAUGCAUCCGGCCGGGUGGCCAAAUGGGCCAUUGCCUUGGCGCCCUACACGAUCUUCUAUCAACCCCGCACCGCCAUCAAGUUGCAAGCACUGGCCGACUUCCUCGUCGACUGGGCCGAGACCCAGUACUUACCGCCGGCUCCCGACUCUACUCAUUGGCGGAUGCACUUUGACGGGUCCAAGAUGCACACCGGCUUGGGAGCCGGCAUCGUCCUCACCUCUCCCAAAGGCGACAAGCUCAAGUACAUGCUGCAGAUCCACUUCGCCGCCUCCAACAAUGUGGCCGAGUAUGAGGCGCUCGUACAUGGGCUCCGGCUAGCCAAAUAACUCGGCAUACGCCGGAUCCUGUGUUACGGUGACUCAGACUUAGUGGUCCAGCAGUCAUCUGGCGACUGAGACGCCAAGGACGCGAACAUGGCAGGCUAUCGAUUCCUUGUCCAGCAGAUAAGCGGAUAUUUUGAAGGGUGCGAGUUCCUUCACGUGCCAAGGGCCGACAACGACCAAGCUGAUGCCCUAGCACGGAUCGGCUCCACCCGACAAGCCAUACCGACUGGCGUCUCCCUCCAGCGCCUCCUCAAGCCGUCCAUCAAGCCGUCUCUGGAGUCGGAUUCCAUCUUCGUACCGCCUGCGCGAGAAACAGCCGGAUCCGACUCGAGAAAUCCCGCAGGCGGCACGGAGACCUCGAUGACUGGCCCGGGGACUGCCGUAGUCGCACCCGGUCCGGGGACUUCAGAACCCGGCCCGGGGACUACAGCAGUCGGCCCGGGGACUACAGCAGUCGGCCCGGGGACUGCAACGACACAAGAAGCAGUGGCCGACUCCAAUUGAACACCCAACCCACCCACCCGAGUCAUGGUGGCCACAUUAACAGAAGAAGUCACAGCUCCCUCAUGGGCCCAGCCCCGUCCUCAAGUUCCUAGUCAGCAGAGAGCUGCCGGCUGAUGAGAUCUCAGCAAGACUAGUGCAACGACGAGCCGCAUCAUACACAAUAAUCAACAGAGAGCUUGUGAAGCGCAGCGUCACUGGAGUCUUCCAGCGUUGUGUCGAGCCAGAAAAAGGAGUGGCAAUCCUCAAAGACAUCCACCAAGGCGAAUGCGGCCAUCACGCCGCUUCAAGAUCCCUCGUCGCCAAGGCUUUCCGCCAUGGUUUCUUCUGGCCAACUGCCUUGGAGGAUGCUAAAGAAAUAGUCAAGAACUGCAGAGGAUGCCAAGUUUUUAAUUCCAAGCAACACCUGCCGGCUUCUGCCCUCAAGACCAUUCCCCUCACUUGGCCUUUUGCCGUCUGGGGACUGGACAUGGUGGGCCCCUUCAAGGCAGCCCGCGGCGGCCUGACACAUCUACUCGUUGCUGUGGACAAGUUCACAAAGUGGAUUGAAGUCAAGCCGAUUAAGAAGCUGAACGGGCCGACUGCCGUGACAUUCAUCACCGACAUCACUACUCGGUACGGUGUGCCGCACAGCAUCAUCACCGACAACGGCACGAACUUCGCCAAAGGCGCACUGGCACGUUUCUGCGCGACGCAGGGCAUCCGACUGGACCUAGCAUCCGUUGCCCAUCCGCAGUCAAACGGCCAAGUGGAGCGAGCAAAUGGACUCAUCGUCUCCGGCAUCAAGCCCCGACUGGUUGUACCACUCGAGCGAUCGGCCGGCUGCUGGCUCGAAGAGCUGCCGGCCGUCCUCUGGAGUCUGCGCACUACACCCAACAAGUCAACCGGCUUCACUCCAUUCUUUCUCGUGUACAGUGCCGAGGCUGUCAUCCCCACGGACAUCGAGUUCGACUCGCCUCGGAUCACCAUGUACACGGAGGAGGAAGCCAAAGAAGCAAGAGAAGACGGCGUUGACCUACUGGAAGAAGGCCGGCUGUUAGCCCUCAGCCGGUCCGCCAUCUACCAGCAAGGGCUGCGCCGCUACUACAACCGCAAGGUCAAGCCAAGAUCCUUCCAAGAGGGUGACCUUGUGCUCCGGCUGAUCUAGCGAACAGCCGCCAGCACAAGCUCUCGGCCCCUUGGGAAGGCCCCUUCGUCGUCAGCAAGGCACUCGGCAACGACUCCUACUACUUGAUCGACGCGCAAAAACCAAGAGCACGCAAGAGAGAUGACUCCGGCAAGGAGUCGGAGCGACCAUGGAACGCAAACCUCCUGAGACGAUUUUUCAGUUGAAAAGCAGUAUGUAUCACGCUCCCCUUUUGUAUUAAGAACAAACCAACAGGCCCCCCGAACAGUACUCGGGGACUGCCUUUGAUUAUCUAUGAAUGACUAGUGUCAUAUCCAUGAAUGUAUUAUUACAUUUCGAAUUUUUGUCCGGCACCGGGUUCGACUAGUCGGCCCGGGGACUGGCCGCCUUGAGCUAUAUCGCAAGUUUUUCCUAAAGACAGAAAAGUAGUGCGCCGGCUCCCAAGUCCUCCUUGUUGAAAGUCGCAGCUCAAAGAACUGACUGUCCGACUAGCAAGAGAGAAGACAGAAAGGACGUUUGCACGAAAAAUGGCUAAGGAACAACUAACCUAUAAAGCAAAGAGACGGCCUCCAAAUAUGCCUGCCGGCUGUCAAAACAGCCGGCUGGCCGGCUUCCUAAAAAAAACUUAGCUUUAGUCCAGCAGAGGUAAAGUACUUCCCCCUCCCCAAUCGGCCAGGCACUCCCCGGCUACAGAUUGCAGAGCAACUGUUUGACUGGGGAGGCGGCAACCAAGGGAGGGUGGCAAAGGAAAAAGCAGAAGGACAAAAAGCAAAAAGUACAAGGAAAGGCCGAUUGCAUAACUUAUAUACAUAAAGCCCCCAACAGGCGGCAACAGACUUGAGUUUGAAUACACCCAGUGGAUGGAAUUGUGCAGACUUAACCAAACAUUGUUCAAAAGUAACAAGACAGGAAAACAAAAGAAAGAAGACUAGGGCGCGACAUGAAGGCCGAGCUGGUCGGUGAAGGCGACCCCGCCGGCUGAAGGAGUGGCCGCCUAGCUGGUCCCGGCUUGACCACCUCCUGCGGCAGGAGACGCACUCACGCGCGACGUAGUACCGGAAGCGCGGUCAGGCUGGCCGGCUACCCCACCAGCCGGCUCGGCUUCUUCACCCUCCUCCUCCUCCUCGCCCUCGUCGCUGGAGUCGAUCUCCUCCGCCGAGUCCUCGCCGUACACCGGGUCCAGCCCGAACCAAUCUUCCGGCUGGGCGACUCCAUUAUCAUCCACCUCGGGGGCGAAGACGUUGGUGUCGGUGUAAUCGGCGAUCGCCGAAGCCCGCCGAAUGAUGGCCGGCCGCGCCGGCUCCAGCUCCGUGUCGGCUUGCUGCCGCCAAGUAGCCAGCUGGUCCAGGUUCAGGCCGGGAUACCAGGCCUUGACGAACUCCAGCGCCUGCCUGGCACCGGAGCGAGCCGCCGACGCCUUCCAAGCCUCGAAGCGGCCGACUGCUACCUCCAGCCAGUCAGCGGUCCGACUGGGGGUGCGAGGGACCGCUUGGCCGGGCCAGAGGGUGGCCAAGACCUGCGCCCCGGCACGCUGAAGCCGGCGGAGCAGCCGGUGAGCCGGCUGGAUGCGAGCCUGGAUCGCCAGGAGUUGUUCCUCUAGCGAGCGGCCGGCAGUUGGCGAGAUCUCGAAGCCGGCCUGCCUCUUCGCUUGGCGACGGGCCUCGAUGGCCUGGUUGGCGGCAGUCGAAUAGCCAGGGAAAUACUCUGCGCGAAGAAGAAAGGAAGAGAAGAACACCAAAAUUAGAAAACAAGCCAAAGUGGCGGAUGGCAAGAAAGGACGAAGAGAUAGACGACUUACCGUCAACCAGAUCCUCGAUCUGGCCAUAGCCGGAGACCAGAGUCUGCCUGGCCUCUGCCCAGCCGGCCGCCUCUGUCUCGAACUCGGCCUGGAGAGUGGCCUCGCGGUCCUGCGCCGCCUUCAGUGCCGCCUUGUGGCUUUCCUCCUGGUCGGCUAGCUUCUUGACCAGGCGGUCGCGCUCCUGCACCAAGGCGGCGAGCUCGGCGUCCUUGGCACGAAGAGCAGUCUGGGACUCCCCUAGUUGUGCCCUCAGACUCGCGCUGGCCGCUGCAGAGACGACAGAAGAAGAAGAACAAUAAGAAAUCGUCAAGGAAGAUCCGAGCCGACUGCUCAGCAGUCGGCCCGAAUCUCGGGGACUACACCCAGUGGGUGCGCUGACGCGCCCCCACAUGAGAUAAAGAUCAAGUCACCUACGUCGGCUCUCAGUAAGGUCGGCGGUCUUCUGAGUCAGCUCCCGAGCCUGGGAGUUGAAGGCGGCCGCUCGGAGGUUGUGGUAGUCCUGCAAGACGGACAGAAGACCGAAGUGAGAACAAAAACAGCAAAGACAAAACCUCCAAGAAGUUCCAAGCCGCCUGCUCAGCAGCCGACUCGGAACUCGGGGACUACACCCAAUGGGUGCGCUGACGCGCCCCCACGAGAGAAAGCAAAGUCAAGAAGAAUCAAGACGGGAGUACUAACCCGGAUGGCUGCCCGCGUUGCGAGGAAUUCGUCGGUGAACUGCCUCAGCGCCGCGGCUUGGCUUUGGAGUCGGGUCCGGACGUCUUGUGCAGCGACGUUCACCAUGGCUGUCCCUCCGCCCGGCGUCCAGCCCGAGGUAGCGCUGGCUGCCUCCGCGUCUCGGGCCGACGAGCUGGAGCCCACGGCCGGCUGUGGCUCCGACGCGGCCUUCUGCGGCACCGACGCGGCCUUCCCUGCACGCCGGCUUGACGAAACCCGGACCGCCACCUCAGCCCCCGCGGCCGGCUCGCCCUCCGCUGACUGUGCGGGCGCAAGCUCAGGCUGACCGCAUUGGGCCGCCCUAGUCGGAGGGGUCGGCUCCGGCGCCUUCUCCAAGAUGAUGACGUCGUCGCCGCUUCCUCCCAGCCCCGGCUGAGAACCGCUGGCUCCCCCUGGCGAGGGCUCCACGUCCCCAGGCGCCAUGACACGCAGGGGGGUGACCAUCAAGGCCUCCCCUGCCGCCGCCGCGGCCUCAGCCUCUGCCUGAGACUUGGCUGCGGCCUCGGCGAGCGCCUUUGCCGCCUCUUCCUCCCGAGCCGCCUGGGCGGCGGUUGCCUUCCGUGCCUCCGCCUCCCGUGCCUCCUGCUCCUCCCGCGCCUCCCGCACGUUCCUUUCCGUCGCCUCCUGGAGGGCGGCGCGGGGGUCCACGCGGCGGGUGGUGCUCCCAGAGCCCCCUGGCGACUCGAUGACGGAGCCAGCAGCGGCCCGCUCAAGCGUCAGGGGAGCCCUGAUUGUUGAAGAAGAAGACAGAGGUUCAAGAACCACCAAAGAAAAGAAAGAAAGAGAGUACACAGAGAAAGAGAACUUACGCCGACACGGCCUGUGGCUGCUUCACCACUUUGCGGAAGCGAGCCGCCUUCGCGGCCGCCUCUUCCCGCCUGGUGGCUGCCGCCCCGCCCCUGGGCUUCUUCGUUCGGCUGCCGAACAAGCCCUGGCCGGCGCGACGCUUCUGGCCUCUACCCCGAGCAGGCUGCGCGCCGGAGGAGCCCGCGCCGCGUCCGGAUGCCGGCUGGCGGCGCGGGACGGCUUCGGCUUCAUCCUCGUCCGGCCAGUCGUCGAAGGUAGCAGUGAACCCGGAGCCGCCUGCUUCGUCGCCGGCUGGGCCACCGCCCGGCUCGACGGCGUCGUCCAAAUGGACCGCCCCCAGGUCGGGGUCCUCCAGGUCGUGUUCGGUCCGGUCGGGGACGAAGCGGCGCUCCACGUCUGACCCGCCGGCCGGCCGAAGCAGAGGGCUCUGUUGAAGAACAAGCCGACUAAGUCAGAGUCGGCCAAGAAAUACUCGGCAACAAGGCUGAGAGAGAGAGAGAGAGAGAAAGGGACAAGGGGAGCGUACCGUAGGCGAAGGAUUGGCUCGGCUAUACGGCUCCUUGCCGAACUGCCAAUCUUCAGUAAAUUGGCAGUUUGCGAGGUAAUUCACCAUGUAGGCGGCAUCGUGGCGCGGCAUCUCCUUGGUGCACAUGCGGCUCGGAUCGAGCUGGCCGCUCAUCUGACAGAUCAGAUGAGGCCGGCUCUGGAGCGGAAGGACCCGGCGCGUGACGAACUCGGCCAGGAGGUCGGGCCCCGUCAGGCCCUCCGACUAGACCAUCACCCGCAGUCGGGCGAUGGCGGCGUUUCCUGCCUGCGACAGCGUCACGGCCCGGAAGGACCACUGGGGCAGCCUGCCCGCCGGUGGGCCGGCUACGUAAGCCGGCAAGUUGAUGUAGUCGCCCCGUGGAGCGAUGUUCCGCACGUAGAAGUAUGACUUCUGCCACUUCUUCACUGAUUGGAUUAGCGUGAUGACGGGGAAGGGGUUGUCGGCGCCCGAUCUCCGCGACGCGAUGAAGGCGCCAGUAUGAGCCGGCACGCCCUUGCUGCGCGUGCCCAGCUUCCUCUGGAAGAGCUCCCCCAGAGCUCAAGGGUGGGGAGGACGCCGAGAUAGCCCUCGCACAGGGUGACGAAGGCAGACAGCAGCACCACCGCGUUGGGGGUGAGAUGGUGCGGCUGGAGCUGAUAAAAUUCGAGCCAGGAGCGGAAGAAGGCGCUCACUGGCAGGCCGAAGCCGCGCAAGAAGUGCGAGCGGAAGACCACCCGCUCGCCCUCCUACGGCCUCGGCCUGAUCUCCUUCGCCGGUGCAAGGCGGACCUCCACUUUGUCCGCGCCGGGCAGCCGCCGCGUGUCGCGGAGGAAGUCGAUGUGGUCGUCAUGGACGUUGGAGCCGUCCCAAUCCCCGCCAAGCUGCUCUACGUGGGGAGGCAUGGCGAAAGCUAGCACGGCGGCGGAGGAGCGUGCGGUGGAAGAGCGCGGCGGCGAGGCGCUGUCGCGAGAACGAGCGAGGGAAGAAGACGGUGGAAGUAGGAGGAGCGUGCGAGGGCCUGCCGUCCUUCACCUCCCCCUACUUAUAGCCUCACGAGGCCGAAGAGGCCGGACGUGGGGGGGACGUGGGAUUAACUGCGCCCACUCCCCCCACGUCUCGCGAUUAUUGCGCAUAAAUGCGAGCCGAAACUACCGCACGGAACGUGCAGGCGGUUUCGGGACACAAAGGAUCCGCGCCUGGGCCGGGGCGCGGACGUGGCGGGCCCCCUCCCUGCGGCGACGUCCCGUCACGCGCGUGGGCUGGCAGGCUUUCCGGCCACGUGGCUCGCCGACGGCCCGUGGCCGGCCCGCGGCCCGGCGCACGUGCCAGCAGGGUUCCCGCCCUCCGACUCCGGAAGAUUUCGACUCAGGCGGUACGCCUGACCAAGGCCGGCUCCCAGCUGCCGGCUUGUCACGAUAGGAAGCUGAUCGAGCUUCUCAAACCCCACUCUGCCUUGAAGCCCAAUCAGCUUCGGGGACUACUGUCGGAGUAAAUGGCCACGGGUAGCAUAACCGACUACCCCUGGUUCUUCAGAAAAAUUAUCAGGCCUUUGGGCCUUCAAGCACUCCAAGCAUUUGGGCCGCCUUCCCUGGCCGGCUACCACUAAAGCCGACUCCCGGAAGGCGACCCAGCCUCACCAACUCCUCCCCAGGACGACUACGGGGUGGCCGACUCCAAGAAGACGGCCACGAAGGACGUCGACUCCAAGGAGCCGGCCAAGACCACAACCACUCCAAACCAUUCCCACAUAACGGCGACGUGACGGGGUGUGGCCACAUUGCGUCCCACUACCCCCGAGGCCCGAGGCGGGCGUGGCUACAGGAGACCGUACGGGACGGACGUCUCCCGUGCGGCUCGGCACUGUAGCCAUGCUAGCCUCGACGUCAUCCACGACCCACUCCUGUACGGCCCAAGGACUGCGUGCCCCUUCAGCCAGAGAGAGGCGUGAAGGCGGCCCGGCCUUUCCCAGUCGGCCGAGAGCGUAGCCAGCCUCCAGAAGCCGGCUACUCCCUUCCUCGAAGCAGGAGCCCCAUUAAGGAGACAAGACGAGGUAAGGCUACAGUGAUAGCCCCCGAGGCGGCCCACUGUAGCCACGCUUACCUCGACAAAGACCUCGUCAUCACAGGCGAGGCUACAGUAAGCAGCCGCCGACAAGACCCUAGGCGGUGGGGCCGGCCUGUCGACCAAGUAGCCGGCAGCCGGCGGGACCCACCAGCCGGCGGGACCCAGCAGCCGGCGGAGAAGCCGGCGAGCGUAGACACUGACGACUGGGACCAGUUCCCAUUCGGAUUACCAUUGUACCCCCGGGGGGUAGGCCUAUAUAAACCCCCCGGAGCACCCAUGCAAAGGGUUCGCACCCAGGCAUAGUUGGCCUCUGAGCAUAGAGUCGCCUUCUAAGCGUAGCCCACACACCAUAGAUAGAGAGAAGCAAGAGCUAGCCUUGUUCUUCUUCUCUCUUGAUCUCAACAGCUCAAGGAGCGAUUGUAGCCAUCUUUUAUCAAUCUAGUGAUCAUGCGGAGACCCCGCAGAGCAGGACUAGGGGUGUUAUCUCCUUGGAGAGCCCCGAACCUGGGUAAGAUUCGCCGGCGUACAUGUCUUCGCCUCAUCCCGUUUCCAGGCACCGGCGACGUUUUAUUGGCUCCCACAAUGAUAAGCCAUCCCUUGGCAUAUGUCGCACCAACCACCCGACAAUGAGUGAAUCUUCCAAGUUCAAGGAGUGAUCCUCGCUUCGCGAGUGUAUGGUCCUUCCGGUCCGUCCUCAUGUUAUGGUCCUCUCACUUGGUGAGGGUUGAAAAGGAGUGAGGUGAGACGUCGCCCCUCCUCAGCUUGCCAGCAAAAGCUUAGAGCCUAGUCCUCGGUCUUAUUUGGCUGCAUCAUUUCUUCAUGUUUUCUCAUGCCAUUCCAAGCAUGGAAGAUUCGAGUAUAGUAUUUACUUGAUCAAGCAUGGUUCAUAUUCAUGGUAUUACUUGCCAUUUUAUUACAUGCUUUGUUGUGUACUCGCUGAGUCUUUGGACUCAUCCCUCGUGGACUUUGUUUCAGGUACAUCACCGUGAGGCUUUUCAAGUAUUAGGAAGGGCGUAGCUCCCAUGGGUGUUCACUAACACAUUUCACAUCCCUUCCAUCCACCUAGCUGAUCAUGAUAACUCUCAUACUUAGUUCAUGAUUCUUGGUAGCUAGGAUCUACUUGUGGUGUAUAAACUUUGCCUUGGUUUGUUUCCAUGAUCACUAUGUUUACCUGUCAAGGUGGGUUGGAGUUAACUAGUCCCCACCUUGCACCAUGGUGUGUUGGAACGUAUGUUUUCUUUGCUAUGUGUAGCAUAACGGUUGGUGGCUUCACCACUUUGCUCUACAUGGGUUGUAGGAGCUUGUUGGAUGCUUUUGUUUGCGAUAUUAUUAAUAUAUGCUUUGUUUUUUCAUUUGCCUGUCAUGGAUGUCCGACGGCACAAAGGAGGUGCUGCCGGAUUUUCUCACGAGCAUGUUUGGUUUGUUUACGUUCUUGGUGGUAACGUUCCUUUCUACAAGGAGGGGUGUUAUAGUUGGUAUCAGUUAAGCUCUAUCUUUGCUAUACAUGCGUAAGCACGUAUACCAAAGAAAGAUCCUUGGACCUUUCAAAUGCUUGCUUGCUAGAUAUAAUUGUUUGCUUGUUAGUGUAAAAAAAAUUGACGAGGGCGUCAAUUCUGUUGAGAUUGGGUGAAAUACCCCAAUUCUCUUACUAGUAUGUUGUUAGGUUCUUUCUAAAUAAAAAACUUGAUUAGAUGGUUCAAGAAAACAUGAGACACUUGUGCACAAUAGGAACGAUCUCUUUAGUUUGAUACUUGCAAGCCUUGUUCUAUGUGCAUAGAUUGCUUGUUGUGUUUUCUAAUGCAUAUUAAGUAGUCUGGUGUUCGAGUAGUACUCGUUUCUGGGUCUCCUGGGUUUAUAUUUCAAUGAUUCCAGUGUCAAGUAUGAGCUUGUAUCUUUACCCGGCUGUCGUGGAAUUGUCACGGCAGAUGUCCUAGUGUGAGGACUUAGUCGUGAGGCCAGCACAUCUAUGUAGUAGUUUGAGAGGGGUUGAUCGGAAUCGAGAGACCCAACACAAGACAAGGGUUUAGACAGCUUCGGGCCCCGAGAAACAUCAUCCGGUAAUAGCCCUACAUGCAGUUUGUGGCUAGGUCUCAUUAUGCUCAUGAGGGAGUCGCCGGUAAGCCGGCUCUCCUCUAAUUGUGUCUAGCCCUAGAGAUUAUUGCUUCUUGCUUGUCCCCUUCUUUGGAAAGCCCUGCCCCUCCUUAUAUAUGUUGAAGGGGCGGUUUACAUGACUAGUCCUAGUUGGAUUAGGAUUACUCUAUUAGAAGUGGAGUCCUAGUCUUGCUUCCUUUGUAGGAUAAUAUUCCUUGUGUUUUCCUCAUAAACCGGCCCACCAUAACAUGAACCGGCCUUCCAUAAACCGCCUUCUGGGUCACUGGGUCUUGUCGUUCCUCUGACCCGCUCACCGGGUCACCCAUGAGUCUCCAGGCUCGGGCGGGUCACUUAGUGAGUCACCAAGUCCGGCCGGGUUAUACUUCCAGCCGGGUUACACUGCGGGGUAUAUCCCCGACAUUAGCCCCCAAUUUAAUUUGGAUUCAUCCAUGUUAAACUGAUCUGCAACAUAAACACAAGAACAAAUUUGUCGGGUUGUGCUCCGGUUUAAAUAUUCUUAUAAACCGGCACUUGAUCAUCCUUAAGUCCUUGUCAUUUCUUCCUUCAUUGCCAAAAUUGCCGGGUUAUAAAAACUGAUGACCCUGGGUCAUGACCGUUUAUAGACGCCGGGUUAUGAUUGUUGCAAACGCCGGGUCACACCAUUAAUCUUCCUAAUUUGCCCAAAACUGAGAAUUUGAAGAUGUUCCUCGUUUAUAUGCAUAUUACCUGUAGCCCCCAAGUCUUAAGAGGAUAACAUAGUGAUAGCUUAAGACCUGUUUCAAUAUAAAUGUUGCAACCUUGAAGAAAUCCAGUUUGUUUAUCUCAGUUACUAGUCACAACUGAAUAUUCCACAUAUGUAGCCCCCAAGUGCCGGGUUGUUAUGCUUGCAGCAACCUGGGACUUGUAAUUGCCUUAUACUCAUAAAAACUUCAACCAAUGUAGCCCCCAAGGGCCGGGUCAUUAUGCAAUAAUGAGCAGGGACUUUGUAGAUAUGAUCAUGUAGGCUUGAACAGCAACGUGUAGCCCCCAAGGGCCGGCUCAGUAAAAUAAUAUUGAGCUGGGACUUUAUAUAUACUUCAUUGAGAAUAACAUCAUAUGAUGUAACCCCCAUCAUGGGGCUUGAACCCACGUCCACAAGGUUGAGAGCUUUGUGCUUUACCAACUGAGCAGUGGAUCCCUCAAUAUAAUGGUUUAAGACUUGUGUACAUUGAAUUGUUGACAGGAUCAAUUGGUAGCCCCCAUGGGCCGGCUCAUUACAAUGUGAUGAGUCGGGUCUUCAAUAAGGUGAGCAAAAAAUGACUUUGCAUUAGCCCCCAAGUGUCAUGGUGCAUGCUUGCAGCGACAUGAGGCUUGCAUAUUUGAUGUAAUCUCAACUUGAAAUAAUGUAGCCCCCAUGUACCGGGUCGUACGCCUGCAGCGACUCGGGACUAUUCCUUCCCUUGUAGAAUAAAUUAUAUCCAGUGAUAAAAUAAUAGCCAUUGCGCUGAAGCGACUUUGAAAACCUCAAUCAUAAUAUUGGUUAUUGAUAACCAUAAUAAAAUCCAGCCAUGUUGGCUUAUUUAAAGACUUGAAUAAUAUACCCAAUGAUUUAUAAGCGCAUGAUUCCAAUGGCGCAAUCCAAAUAUAUACUGGCGACUUAUAAUCCAAAGCUAGGCCCGGUUAAUAAACACCAGAUAAUUUAUCAUCAUACUGGCGACUGAUAGUCCAAAGCCAGGCCGGGUUAAUAAACACCGAAUAAUUUAUCAUCAUACUGGCGACUUAUAGUCCAAAGCCAGGUCGGGUUAAUAAACACCGGAUAAUUUAUCAUCAUACUGGCAACUGAUAGUCCAAAGCCAGGCCGGGUUAAUAAAAACCGGAUAAUUUAUCAUCAUGCUUUAUUCGACCUGUUUCUUCAUACAACAAGUUUAAAGAGUCCUGGCGGUUUACCACUGGACGGGUCAUAAUGCCCAACAUAUAACCCGGGUUUAUAACCAAGGCUGCACUUAAGAAUAAUCAAAUAUGAAAUAUAUCAUACGUGUGACAUUGAAUCACAUCAUUGGUUUACCAACUUUUUGUAGUAAGGGUGAUAACCCAAAUCUUGAGUACUGAUAACUCCUCUGAUGUCUUGCUGAUUUAUGAUAAAACCGCACCGGGUUGUGAUAAACACCGGAUUAGCCAUAUAUAAAACUGGCGACUUAUAGUCGAAACCAGACCGGGUCAAUAAGCGUCGGAUUAUAACUGAUCAUGUACUGACAACUUAUAGUUGAGAGCCUAGCCGGGUCAAUGAAUGCCGGUUUAUCAAAAACAUUAUAAAUGUCAUCAAAAGAGAAAAAACUUGGCAAAUGAAAGCAGAUGAAAACUUGUAGUCGAGGCUUUUCACGGGCUGCCAGGCCCCAAAUCGAGGCUUUUCAUGGGCUGUCAGGCCACUGAGUUAAACCAUUUCACAAAGCCUUUUAAGAUGGACCUCAAUCUUUAACCAAUCGCCGUUUUAACUUUGACAAGUUCAGGGUCUAUGAGAUUGACUUGUCAAAAGUUCGACGGGUCAUACUAGGUUUACCUGGACGGAGUGGCUUACUUAAAAAGGCAGGAUAACCCGGAGUUUUAGGUGAAUACACCAGGCUUCCAAGCCGUGGCUUGAUAGCCUAUUACAAGUGUAGAUUCUUUGGUCAUUGCGAAGCAAAGAAUCCCCAAGCAAUAUUUUGAGCUGUGCUCAGUGGGUGCCUAUGUUUGAGUUGUGCUUUUGCAACACUCUCUUUGGCCCCCAUGUGAUUUCCCUGGUGGCCUUACGCCGAUCAAGAGGUGUAGCUAUGGUUCGAAUACGACCAAGCCCCCAAGUGAUUUUGUGAGCUGUGCUCAAGGGGCACCUAUGUUUGAGCUGUGCUUUUGCAACAAACUCUCUUUGGUCCCUUUAAUUUUUCCUGAGAACUCGAACUUGCGAGAGAUUAUUCUUUUGAACCGGAAAUUCUUAAACCGGAUAUUGAGAGCUUCCAAGCUUUAUGGAAGAUAUCUUUCCCUCGAACCGGAUUUUAAACCGGAAUCUUCUUUUUCAGCCGGAAAUUUUCUGACGGCCUUUAAACUCGAACUUGUGAGAAGUUAAUUCUUUUUUGAACCAGAAAUUCUUAAACCGGAUUUGAGAGCUUUAGAGCUUUAUGGGAGACAGAUUUGCCUUGAACCAGAUUAUAAACCGGAUGUUUGAGAGCUUCAGUGAGACUGACUUCCCUUGAACUGGAUUUUGAACCAGAAUCCAUUUUGAGCCGGAAAUCUUCUGACGGCCUUUAAAUUUUCACCAAUAUGGCAGUAGCCUCCGGGACCGGGUUAUCUUUCCAUCCAUCGUCCUGGGGUUCUUAAAUUUGCUGAAACUGGCAAGAUUUGCUGAGUCAUGUCAUCGUAGCCCCCGAGUCUCAAAGGUGACUCGAGGAGUUGGCUUGAGAUUCUCCAUAUUUGACCAUGAUAUAAACCGGCAUAAAUUGUAUAUCAUUGGUGUUGAUAGCACGAUGUGAAUCCAUAGAAGGUUGAGGUGAUUGCGGCGGGUUAUGAAUGAUCCCGUAUGAGCCGUGUCAGCAACUCGGCCAAUGGUUCCUUCCAACUGGCUAUUUGAAGUUAACCAAACUGUAGUGGCGGCGACUUGUGCGCCUGCCCAUUGGGCCACCCAGUGCAGACAGUGGUUGAUAGUAUAUGAUAAUUUUCCUCCAUUUUGUUUGAAAGAAAACCGGGCUACCCAAGCUGUGACUUGCUGAUACUCAAUAAACAGCUCAUGGAGACAGGUGCGGCUCGGUAUGUUGAUGUAGACCAGGCCGCGAGAGACGGACAACAAAGAUGACCGCAACAUCAGAGGCAGCUCGGACAAAUGAGUCGGUCGCAUGUCACGGCAUUGCAAGCCGGUGCGGGCGGGGAAAAUCGGCACCGGUGUUGUAAACCGGCACGAACGGGCGAGUUAAUGUAGACCGGGUCCGUAGAGGCGGCGGCUUUGUGCAUGUCCAUUGAACAGCGAUCAAACGCGAUCCCGGCAAGUCGAUGUAGACCGGGCCGCAAGGGUGGCGACUUGUGCGCGUCCACUCAACGGGUAAUAUGUCACGGACUAUCGCCGUGCGAAACAUUAUUAGCCGUGCUCCAUACCCGUGGAAUAAACCACAUUUGUAGUGAAUAAUUAUCCUGUAUACAAAAAUAUACAGAUCAAAGUAAUUGUUCUUUGAUAAAAAACAAUAUGCUUCAGUCUUGGCGUACCAGCAGGCCAAGGCAAAGAUAAACUGCUCUUUGACAAAAAAUAUUAUGUGCUAAUAAAAUAUAUUUUAGAUGGAUAUCACCUAAUGUGUUUAGGCUGGAAGUAAUCCGCCAUGAAGUUGAUGAUUACUAGGUGAAACUGCAAUCACUCACGGGUGAGUCAGCAGCGGCAUUGUAAACCGGUGCGGACGAGAGAGUCGGCCACGGCGUUGUAAGCCGGUGCGGACGGGCGACUGGCCGCAGGCACGGACAGAUGUAAACCGAACAGCGGGGGCCAUGACUUGCACGCGUAUCCGUCGAGCAACAUGACACGGACGGACUCCAGUGCAGAGUUAUGCUGGUGCGCGCUCCAUAUCCGUUGUAUAACACCUUUGUCCUGAAUGACUAUCCUGCGUAAAAAAUAUUACGCGACAAAAUAAUUGUUCUCACAAAUUAAUAUGUGCUCUUAAAACAGACUGGACGAAUAUCACCUGAUUUAUUUUCCGGAUGAACGCGGAUACCAGUGCUGGAUAAUGUUGGACGUAUUCUGGUGCAGCCUUUAGUAUGUACAUAGGACCAACAAAGCGGCAGAUAUAACAGCGGCCGGAGGGGCGACUUGAAAGCGACACCGCAGUGGCGGCCCAAACCCACAGUAGCUGGGGAAAUGGGCGGCUCAGCAUUGUAGCAAGGGUGCCUCGAGGUGAGGACACGGGCGCAGCGACGCGGGAGACGGCAGGGCCGCAAUCGCAAAUCAAGCGGGUGACUCAGCGUGCACAGAUAGCAGUAGUCAGAGGACUCGGCGUGGCGGUCCUCAAUGGAGGUGGGCCACGGCGGCUUAACUGAGGCCUGACCGGUUUGGAAGCAGCUGCUCAGAGCUUUGACUCGUCGUAAAGCAGAGUGAUCACCCACAAGUAUAGGGGAUCGCAACAGUUUUCGAGGCUAGAGUAUUCAACCGAAAUUUAUUGAUUCGACACAAGGGGCGCCAAAGAAUAUUCUCAAGUAUUAGCAGUUGAGUUGUCAAUUCAACCACACCUGGAUAACUUAGUAUCUGCAGCAAAGUAUUUAGUAGCAAAGUAAUAUGAUAGUAGUGGUAACAGUAACAAAACUAACGGUAGAAAAAGUAAUAUUUUUGGUGUUUUGUAGUGAUUGUAACAGUAGCAAUGGAAAAGUAAAUAAGCGAGGAACAAUAUGUGAAAAGCUCGUAGGCAUUGGAUCGGUGAUGGAGAAUUAUGCCGGAUGCGGUUCAUCAUGUAACAAUCAUAACAUAGGGUGACGCAGAACUAGCUCCAAUUCAUCAAUGUAAUGUAGGCAUGUAUUCCGAAUAUAGUCAUACGUGCUUAUGGAAAAGAACUUGCAUGACAUCUUUUGUCGUACCCUCCCGUGGCAGCGGGGUCCUAAUGGAAACUAAGGGAUGUGAAGGCCUCCUUUUAAUAGAGAACCGAAACAAAGCAUUAGCACAUAGUGAAUACAUGAACUCCUCAAACUAUGGUCAUCACCGGGAGUGGUCCCGAUUAUUGUCACUUCGGGGUUGCCGGAUCAUAACACACAGUAGGGGACUAUAGACUUGCAAUAUAGGAUCAAGAACUCACAUAUAUUCAUGAAAACAUAAUAGGUUCUGAUCUGAAAUCAUGGCACUCGGGCCCUAGUGACAAGCAUUAAGCAUAGCAAAGUCAUAGCAACAUCAAUCUCAGAACAUAGUGGAUACUAGGGAUCAAACCAUAACAAAACUAACUCGAUUACAUGAUAGAUCUCAUCCAACCCAUCACCGUCCAGCAAGCCUACGAUGCAAUUACUCACGCACGGCGGUGAGCAUCAUGAAAUUGGUGAUGGAGGAUGGUUGAUGAUGACGACGGCGACGAAUCCCCCUCUCCGGAGCCCCGAACGGACUCCAGAUCAGCCCUCCCGAGAGGUUUUAGGGCUUGGCGGCGGCUCCGUAUCGUAAAACGCGAUGAAUUCUUCUCUCCAAUUUUUUUCUCCCCGAAAUCAAAUAUAUAGAGUUGGAGUUGAGGUCAGAGGAGCUCCAGAGGGCCCACAAGGUAGGGGGGCGCGCCCUAGGGGGGAGGGCGCGCCCCACCCUUGUGGACAGGGUGUGGGCCCCCUGGUCUUCAUCUUUUGCAAGGAUUUUUUAUGAUUUCCAAAUAGAUGUUCCGUGGAGUUUCAGGUCAUUCCGAGAACUUUUCUUUCUGCACAUAAAUAACACCAUGGAAAGUCUGCUGAAAAUAGCGUCAGUCCGGGUUAGUUCCAUUCAAAUCAUGCAAGUUAGAGUCCAAAACAAGGGCAAAAGUGUUUGGAAAAGUAGAUACGACGGAGACGUAUCAACUCCCCCAAGCUUAAACCUUUGCUUGUCGUCAAGCAAUUCAGUUGAUAAACUGAAAGUGAUAAAGAAAAACUUUUACAAACUCUCUUUGCUCUUGUUGUUGUAAAUAUGUAAAGCCAGCAUUCAAGUUUUCAGCAAAGAUUAUGACUAACCACAUUUGCAAUAACUCUUAGGUCUCAUGUUUACUCAUAUCAAUAGCAUAAUCAACUAGCGAGUCAUAAUAAUAAAUCUCGGAUGACAACACUUUCUCAAAACAAUCAUGAUAUGAUAUAACAAGAUGGUAUCUCGCUAGCCCUUUCUGAGACCGCAAAACAUAAGUGCAGAGCACCUUUAAAGAUCAAGGACUGACUAGACAUUGUAAUUCAUGGUAAAAGAGAUCCAGUCAUAGUCAUGCCCAAUAUAAAUUAAUAGUAAUGGAUGCAAAUGACAGCUGUGCUCUCAAGCUAGUGCUUUUUAAUAAGAGGGUGAUGACUCAGCAUAAAAGUAAAUAGAUAGGCCCUUCGCAGAGGGAAGCAGGGAUUUGUAGAGGUGCCAGAGCUCGGUUUUGAAAUAGAGAUAAAUAAUAUUUUGAGUGGCAUACUUUCAUUGUCAACAUAACAACCAAGAGAUGGCGAUAUCUUCCAGGCUACACACAUUAUAGGCGGUUCCCAAACAGAAUGGUAAAGUUUAUACUCCCCCUCAACCAACAAGAAUCAAUCCAUGACUUGCUCGAAACAACGAGUGUCUCCAACUAGCAACAGUCCCAGGGGGAGUUUUGUUUGCAAUUAUUUUGAUUUAGUUUGCAUAAAGCAUGGGACUGGGCAUCCCGGUGACCAGCCAUUUUCUCGUGAGUGAGAAGCGAAGUCCACUCCUCUUGAGAAUAACCCGCCUAACAUGGAAGAUAAGGGCAGCCCUAGUUGAUACAUGAGCUAUUCGAGCAUACGAAAUAGAAUGUUUAUUGGAAGGUUUAGAGUUUGGCACAUACAAAUUUACUUGGAACGGCAGGUAGACACCGCAUAUAGGAAGGUAUAGUGGACUCAUAUGGCAUAACUUUGGGGUUUAAGGGAUUGGAUGCACAAGCAGUAUUCCCGCUUAGUACCAGUGAAGGCUAGCAAAAGACUGGGAAGCGACCAACUAGAGAGCGACAACAGUCAUGACCGUGCAUUAAAAUUAAUAAACAUUGGAUGCAAGCAUGAGUAGGAUAUAAUCCACCAUGAACAUAAAUAUCGUGAAGGCUAUGUUGAUUUUGUUUCAACUACAUGUGUGAACAUGAGCCAAGUCAAGUCACUUAAAUCAUUCAAAGGAGGAUACCACCCCAUCAUACCACAUCACAACCAUUUUAAUAGCAUGUUGGCACCCAAGGUAAACCAUUAUAACUCAUAGCUAAUCAAGCAUGGCACGAGCAACUAUGAUCUCUAAUUAUCAUUGCAAACAUGUUUAUUCAUAAUAGGCUGAAUCAGGAACGAUGAACUAAUCAUAUUUACAAAAACAAGAGAGGUUGAGUUCAUACCAGCUUUUCUCAUCUCAGUCAGUCCAUCAUAUAUCAUCAUAAUUGCCUUUCACUUGCACGACCGAACGAUGUGAAUAAUAAUAAGAGUGCACGUGCAUUGGACUAAGCUGGAAUCUGCGAGCAUUCAAUAAACAGGAGAAGACAAGGCAAUAUGGGUUUUUGGUUAAAUCAACAAUAAUGCAUAUAAGAGCCACUUCAACAAUUUAAUCAUGGUCUUCUCCUAUCGACCCCCAAAGAAAAGAAAAAAAAUAAAAACUAUUAACACGGGAAAGCUCCCAACAAGCAAAAGAAGAACGGGAAAUCUUUUUGGGUUUUCUUUUAAUUAUUAUUACUACGGCAAGAAAAGUAAACUAACUAGAAGCUAUUACUAUUUUUUUUGGUUUUUCUUAAGGUUUGACAAACACACAAGAAGAAAGCAAGAAAAAGAAAAUAAACUAGCAUGGAUAUUACAGUGAAAAAGUAUGAGCACCGACAUCUAGCAAUGAGUGUGUGUAAACAUAAAUGUAAUGUCGGUGGGAAAUACGUACUCCCCCAAGCUUAGGCUUUUGGCCUAAGUUGGUUCAUUGCCACGGAUGGCCUGGCGGAUACCCAUAGGUGUAGCUGGGGUCGUACUGAGAUGAAGAGGACUCUCACUGCCACUGGCUGGCAGUCAUCUCCGGAUCCCAAAAGUAAUCAGAAUGUCGUGGAGGCUCAAAUUGUGGUUCCGGCUCCGGGGCUGGUGUAGGGUUCCGGUAAGCUUGAAUGGCCGCCCACAGAACGAGAUACGGACCUUCAGAUAAAUUAAACAAGGAAGGAGCAGGCAAGGUAAUAGUCUCAGGGUGAUGUUUAUCAAAGAACAAUUUGUAUUCAAGCUCCCCUUCCCUAUUCUUAGCAAUAAAGUCAUGCGCUAACAUACUCUUAUAAUCUAAAUAAGCAUUGGGCAACAAUUUUUCUUCUUUCUCAUAGAGCCUAAUAGGUAUGUUAUAAUGUGCAGCUAGGCGUGAAGUAUAAAUACCUCCAAAGAUGGGGCCCUUAGUACGGUUCAGACUUAACCGUUUAGCAAUAAUACCACCCAUACUAAAAGUGUUCUCGGAAUAUAAACCAUGGAGCAAAAUGAUAAUAUCAGGGACACUAAGGUUUCCACAGUUUCCGCGGCCAAUUAAGCAACGACUAGCAAAUAUAGCAAGGUAGCGUAAAACAGAAAAUGUAUGCUAGUCAUUCUUGCAUCGGAAACCUUCCUGGUUUCCCCCACAGUAAUGGUGUCAAUAAACCCGUCCACAUCUUUGCGAUGUGGUUCAUCUAAGAUACCCUCGAAGGGUAUUUUGCAAACCUCGCAAAAUUCAUCUAGUGGCAUCUUCUUAACAACAUCAUAUAAAUGAAACUCUACUGAGGGAGGUGAUUCCUUAGGAAAAUAGUAGAAGUUUUGCACAAAAUUAUUGGUGAGUAAGAGAUACAGAUGACGUUGGUCGUGGAGGAAGUCAGUGAGGCCAGCAUUCUCAGCCAAUGAAUAGAAAUCAUCAUAAAUCCCGGCUUUUCUCAAGAAAUCAUCCAAAGGCCAUUCACACGGCCGGACCUCCGCGGUGCGAGGCAGAUUAUAUUUGGGCCUCUGUGCUUCUUCAUUUUGCUUUUCCUUCGAGCUUCGGCUCGACGAGCCCCUCAAAAAUCUCUUCAUUAUUUUCUGAAAUAUUCUGAAAUUUUUAGUAACUUCAAACAAAAGUGAACCAACCUCAAUAAAAUUGAUAGCAACUACUCCUACAAGUUCCUAGAGACUAUAGCAUGCAUUAGAAAUACUUGGAACCAUAUAAAUUUAACAUGCAAGCUCAAGAACAUGGUCACCUAGGCAGCACAAAUUUGCAAUGAAUAAAGGACUAGAGCAAAAACUAAUUGGACCAAUGGAGGAGUCACAUACCAAGGAACAAUCUCCCCAAGCAGUUUUGUGAGAGGUGCUUUGAGCAUGGAGAUCGAAAAUCGCAGCAAAAUGAUCUAGAACUCGUGCUUGAGCUGGAUAUUGGUGUUUGUGGGAGGAAGAAGGAGUGUAUGGGUGCAGGAAUAAGUGGAGGAGGGCCACUGUGGGCCCACGAGGCAGGGGGCGUGCCCUGGGGGUAGGGCGCGCCCUCCACCCUCGUGGCCAGGUGCUUGCCCCUCCUGCUGUGUUCUCAGUGCCAGAAAUUCUCAAAUAUUCUAGAAAAAAUCAUAUUCCAUUUUCAGGGCAUUUGGAGAACUUUUAUUUUCGGGGUAUUUUUAUAUUGCACGGAUAAAUCAGAAAACAGACAGAAAAAUACUAUUUUUACUUUAUUUCAACUAAAUAACGGAAUUAGAAAGAGGGUACAGAAGGUUGUGCCUUCUAGUUUCAUCCAUCUCAUGCUCAUCAAAAGGAAUCCACUAACAAGGUUGAUCAAGUCUUGUUAACAAACUCAUUCCGAAUAAUCAUGGAACCGGAGAAAUUUUGAAUAACACUAUGUUACCUCAACGGGGAUAUGCACAUCCCUAAUAAUAAGAAUAUCAUAUUUCUUCUUGACAGUAGGAAGAGGAAAUUCAAAACCUCCAAAUAUAAUCGAUGGAAUUUUCCAAUGGAGUUGAUACUAUGAACUUGAGGUUGUUUCCUCGAAAAGUGUACCGUAUGCUCAUUGCCAUUAACAUGAAAAGUGACAUUUCGUUUGUUGCAAUCAAUAACAGCCCCUGCAGUAUUAAAAAAAGGUCUUCCAAGAAUAAUAGACAUGCUAUCGUCCUCGGGAAUAUCAAGAAUAACAAAGUCCGUUAAAAUAGUAAUGUUUGCAACCACAAUAGGAACAUCCUCACAAAUACCGACAGGUAUAGCAGUUGAUUUAUCAGCCAUUUGCAAACAUAUUUCAGUAUGUGUCAACUUAUUCAAGUCAAGUCUAUGAUAUAAAGAGAGAGGCAUAACACUAACACCGGCUCCAAGAUCGCAUAAAGCAGUUUUAACAUAAUUUCUUUUAAUGGAGCAUGGUAUAGUAGGUACUCCUGGAUCUCCAAGUUUCUUUGGUAUUCCACCCUUAAAAGUAUAAUUAGCAAGCAUGGUGGAAAUCUCAGCUUCCGGUAUCUUUCUUUUAUUAGUGACAAUUUCUUUCAUAUACUUAGCAUAAGGAUUCAUUUUGAGAAUAUCAGUUAAUCGCAUACGCAAAAAGAUAGGUCUAAUCAUUUCAGCAAAGCGCUCAAAAUCCUCAUCAUCCUUUUUCUUGGAUGGUUUGGGAGGAAAAGGCAUGGGUUUCUGAACCCAUGGUUCUCUUUCCUUACCAUGUUUCCUAGCAACAAAGUCUCUCUUAUCAUAACGUUGAUUCUUUGAUUGUGGGUUAUCAAGCUCAACAGCAGGUUCAAUUUCUACAUCAUUAUCAUUACUAGGUUGAGCAUCAUCAUGAACAUCAUCAUUAACAUUUUCAUUAGGUUCAUGUUCAUUACCAGAUUGUGUUUCAGCAUCAGAAAUAGAAAUAUCACUUCGAUUCUCAGGUGGUUCAGCAAUAGUUCACUAGAAGCAUGCAAAGUCCUAUCAUUUUUCUUUUUCUUCUUUUUAGAAGAACUAGGUGCAUCAAUAUUAUUUCUCUGAGAAUCUUGCUCAAUUCUCUUAGGGUGGCCUUCAGGAUACAAAGGUUCCUGAGUCAUCUUACCAGUUCUAGUAGCCACUCUAACAGCAUAAUCAUUUUUCUUACUAUUCAUUUCAUUGAGCAAAUCAUUUUGAGCUUCAAACACUUGUUCUACUUGAGUGGUAACCAUAGAAGCAUGUUUAGUAAUGAGUUUAAGUUCACCUCUGACAUCAGCCUUGUAAUUACCCAAGUGUUCAAUCAUAUAAGCAUUUUGUUUUAAUUGUCUACCAAAAUAAGCAUUGAAAUCUUCUUGCUUAACCAUAAAGUUAUCAAACUCAUCCAAGCAUUGGCUAGCAAUUUUAGUAGGAGGGAUUUUAGCUCUAUCAUAUCUAUAGAGAGAAUUUAACUUUACUACCUAUGUCGGGUUAUUAAGACCAUGAGGUUCUUCAAUAGGUAAUGGAUUAAGAUCAUAUGUUUCUUCAACAGGCGGUAGAUUAAGACCAUGUAUUUGUUCAAUAGGAGGUAAAUUCUUAACAUCUUCAGCUUUAAUACCUUUUUCUUUCAUAGAUUUCUUUGCCUCUUGCAUAUCUUCAGGACUGAGAAAUAGAACACCUCUCUUCUUCGGAGUUGGUUUAGGAAUAGGCUCAGGAACUGGCUCAGGAGCUGGCUCAGGAAGUGUCCAAUUAUUUUCAUUUGUCAACAUAUUAUUCAAUAGGAUUUCAGCUUCAUCCGGUGUUCUUUCCCUGAAAACAGAACCAGCACAACUAUCUAGGUAAUCUCUGGAAGCAUCGGUUAGUCCAUUGUAAAAGAAAUCAAGUAUUUCAUUUUUCUUGAGAGGAUGAUCAGGCAAAGCAUUAAGUAACUUGAGAAGCCUCCCCCAAGCUUGUGGGAGACUCUCUUCUUCAAUUUGCACAAAGUUGUAUAUUUCCCUCAAAGCAGCUUGUUUCUUAUGAGCAGGGAAAUAUUUAGCAGAGAAGUAAUAAAUCAUAUCCUGGGGACUACACACACAACCAAGAUCAAGGGAAUUAAACCAUAUCUUAGCAUCACCCUUUAAUGAGAAUGGAAAUAUUUUAAGGAUAUAAAAGUAGCGAGAUCUCUCAUCAUUAGUGAACAGGGUGGCUAUAUCAUUUAAUUUAGUAAGAUGUGGCACAACAGUUUCAGAUUCAUAGCCAUGAAAAGGACCAGAUUCAACAGAGAAUUCAUAAUCCUUAUCGGUAACACAGAUAGGUGAAGUUGCAAAAGCAGGGUCAGGUCUCAUUCUAUCAUUAAGAGAUUGCUGAUUCCAUUUAGCUAAUAAUCUCUUGAGCUCAUAUCUAUCUUUGCAAGCUAAAAUAGCUAAAGAAGCUUCUUUAUCAAAAACAUAACCCUCAGGAAUAACAGGCAAGUUUUCAUCAUCACUUUCAUCAAUAUAAUCAGUUUCAAUAAUUUCUUUCUCUCUAGCCCUAGCAAUUUGUUCAUCAAGAAAUUCACCAAGGGGUAUAGUAGUAUCAAGUAUAGAAGUAGUUUCAUCAUAAGUAUCAUGCGAAGCAGACGUGGCAUCAUCAAUAACAUGCGACAUAUCAGAACGAAUAGCAGAAGCAGGUUUAGGUGUCGCAAGCUUACUCAAAACAGAAGGUGAAUCAAGUGCAGAGCUAGAUGGUAGUUCCUUACCUCCCCUCGUAGUUGAGGGAUAAAUUGUUGUCUUAGCGUCUUUCCAGUUCUUCAUAGUGACCAGCAGAUAUAAAUCCCAAGUGACUCAAAGAAUAGAGCUAUGCUCCCUGGCAACGGCGCCAGAAAAUAGUCUUGAUAACCCACAAGUAUAGGGGAUCGCAACAGUUUUAGAGGGUAGAGUAUUCAACCCAAAUUUAUUGAUUCGACACAAGGCGAGCCAAAGAAUAUUGUCAAGUAUUAGCAGUUGAGUUGUCAAUUCAACCACAUUUGGAUAACUUCGUAUAUGUAGCAAAGUAUUUAGUAGCAAAGUAAUAUGAUAGUAGUGGUAACGGUAACAAAAGUAACGGUAGCAAAAGUAAUAUUUUUGUUGUUUUGUAGUGAUUGUAACAGUAGCAACGGAAAAGUAAAUAAGCAAGGAACAAUAUGUGAAAAGCUCGUAGGCAUUGGAUCGGUGAUGGAGAAUUAUGCCGGAUGCGGUUCAUCAUGUAACAAUCAUAACAUAGGGUGACACAGAACUAGCUCCAAUUCAUCAAUGUAAUGUAGGCAUGUAUUCCGAAUAUAGUCAUACGUGCUUAUGGAAAAGACCUUGCAUGACAUCUUUUGUCCUACCCUCCCGUGGCAGCGGGGUCCUAAUGGAAACUAAGGGAUAUUAAGGCCUCCUUUUAAUAGAGAAUCGAAACAAAGCAUUAGCACAUAGUGAAUACAUGAACUCCUCAAACUAUGGUCAUCACCAGGAGUGGUCCCGAUUAUUGUCACUUCGGGGUUGCCGGAUCAUAACACAUAGUAGGUGACUAUAGACUUGCAAGAUAGGAUCAAGAACUCACAUAUAUUCAUGAAAACAUAAUAGGUUCAGAUCUGAAAUCAUGGCACUCGAGCCCUAGUGACAAGCAUUAAGCAUAGCAAAGUCAUAGCAACAUCAAUCUCAGAACAUAGUGGAUACUAGGGAUCAAACCCUAACAAAACUAACUCGAUUACAUGAUAGAUCUCAUCCAACCCAUCACCGUCCAGCAAGCCUAUGAUGGAAUUACUCACGCACGGUGGUGAGCAUCAUGAAAUUGGUGAUGGAGGAUGGUCGAUGAUGACGACGGUGACGAAUCCCCCUCUCCGGAGCCCCAAACGGACUCCAGAUCAGCCCUCCCGAGAGGUUUUAGGGCUUGGUGGCGGCUCCGUGUUGUAAAACGUGAUGAGUUCUUCUCUCCGAUUUUUUCUCCCCGAAAGCAAAUAUAUAGAGUUGGAGUUGAGGUCAGAGGAGCUCCAGGGGCCCACGAGGUAGGGGGCGCGCCCUAGGGGGGAGGGCGUGCCACCCACCCUCGUGGAUAGGGUGUGGGCCCCCUGGUCUUCAUAUUUUGUGAGGAUUUUUUAUUAUUUCCAAAUAGACGUUCCAUGGAGUUUCAGGUCAUUCCGAGAACUUUUGUUUCUGCACAUAAAUAACACCAUGGAAAGUCUGCUGAAAACAGCGUCAGUCCGGGUUAGUUCCAUUCAAAUCAUGCAAGUUAGAGUCCAAAACAAGGGCAAAAGUGUUUAGAAAAGUAGAUACGACGGAGACGUAUCACAGAGGAAGUGGUGAACGCAGAAUUGUGUCUGACCUGUCCUGGAUACUGGAAAUCUGAUAUAUCCAAGCAACUUUGAAGAAACUCUACUAUUAACCUUGGGAUCCGUGUGGCUAUUUAUUCCUUGGUUGAUCUUUUGACUACUAGUACUGUUAUCUGUCAGUAUGGAUUGGACCCUUCGUCACGUGAUCCCCUUCUCUUUUUUUCUUAAUCUCACGUAGGAGUGGAUGUAUAAGUCUCCUCGUAUAGUCUUCGGUGGGCAUCGAAAAUCCGACUAGGCCUCGAAUCAGACUCUGGUACUCGUGCGUGUAUUACUUCAAGUAUUUGGUAGUACUAGUGCAAAAAGACUCGGCGAUCAACAGAUCGCUCUGCCUAAAAAAUUUCUUCAUGGUCUUGCCUUGUCCUGACGCAUCGUACGGCUGCUGAUUCGGAUCAGUAUUCCAGCAGAGAAAAACACAACCUCUCUAGCACGAUACAUGAUUUGUCUGGUCACCCAGACGGCAGCUAGGGACAGACAGCAAUCCUAAUUUCUUGUUGAAUCAAAAUUGAUGAAUUUUGCCGGCUCUGCCCAAGGUUAUCCAUCAUGAAUUGUUCUACAUCAUCAUGCCAGCUCUUCUUCAUCCAACUUGCCGUGAGAGCUUCUCGAUCCCUGAAGAAUUCUCUCCAAGAACUCAUCACCACCGUGCGCAGGCCCCACGGUGGGCGCCAACUGUCGUGGAAUUGCCACGGCAGAUGUCCUAGUGUGAGGACUUAGUCGUGAGGCCAGCGCACCUAUGUAGUAGCUUGAGAGGGGUUGAUCGGAAUCGACAUACGCAACACAAGACAAGGGUUUAGACAGCUUCGGGCCCCGAGAAACAUCAUCCGGUAAUAGCCCUACAUGCUGUUUGUGGCUAGGUCUCAUUAUGCUCAUGAGGGAGUCACCGGUAAGCCGGCUCUCCUCUAAUUGUGUCUAGCCCUAGAGAUUAUUGCUUCUUGCUUGUCCCCUUCUUUGGAGAGCCCUGCCCCUCCUUAUAUAUGUUGAAGGGGCGGUUUACAUGACUAGUCCUAGUUGGAUUAGGAUUACUCUAUUACAAGUGGAGUCCUAGUCUUGCUUCCUUUGUAGAAGAAUAUUCCUUGUGUUUUCCUCAUAAACCGGCCCACCAUAACAUGAACCGGCCUUCCAUAAACCGCCUUCUGGGUCACCGGGUCUUGUCGUUCCUCUGACCCGCUCGUCGAGUCACCCAUGAGUCGCCAGGCUCGGGCGGGUCACUUAGUGAGUCGCCAGGUCCGGCCGGGUUAUACUUCCAGCCGGGUUACAAGGCGGGGUAUAUCCCUGACACCGUCCAUAUUCUACCUUUUUAUUUCUUUGGUUGACUGGGUAAUCUUCUUGUUUUCCUUAGAUGCCUAGGGGUAAAGCUCGUAGAAAGCAAGUUCCACCCACUCGUGGAAAAACGGCAGCUGGUGCUAAACCCCGAGGUCGUGGACGCAGGAGUGCCCAACCUAUAGCUGAGGAGAGUGGUGAGGGAUCAGUGGCAGCUGAUGAUGUUGCUCCGCCACCUCAAGCUGAGUGGCGUGAGUUGAUGCAAGAACUCCAUACACUUCGUCAGCAAGCUCAAGCCCAAGCCACAACUCUUGCACCUGCCAAUGCUCAGGGCAUGAUGAAUGAGCCAUUUGGCUCAAGACAAGUCAAUCCUCUUCUCACAUGGUCUAUGGUACACUCUGACACUUUUAAUGGGACUGGGACUCCUAUAGUGGCAGCUGAUUGGUUGCGCAUCAUGGAACGACGCCUUGAGGUCAUGCAAGUGCAACCAGCCCAGAAGGUGAUGUUUGCUACUAUUCAGCUAAAGGGCAAUGCAGGCAUCUGGUGGGAGAAUGUUCGUUCCUCUUUACCACCAGAGCAUGCCACGCCUACUUGGAAGUUCUUUCGAAAUCAAUUCAUUGAGAAGUACUAUCCGGCUUCCUAUGUAGAGAGGAUGGAGAAUGCACUAAGCAAGUUAAGGCAAGGAAACAAAACAAUUCAGGAUUAUGAAACCGAGUUCAACGAUAUCAUCCGCUUUGUGCCAACAGUGGUUAAUAAUGAUAAAGAGAAGGCAAGGAGGUUCAAGGAUGGGCUAGAGCAGCAGUAUCGUGUUGUGCUCAGCGCUGCUGGGUCCUGUAGCUUUGCUUCCUUGGUUGAGAAAGCCAAAACGAUUCGAGUAUAGUAUUUACUUGAUCAAGCAUGGUUCAUAUUCAUAGUAUUACUUGCAACUUUAUUACAUGCUUUGUUGUGUACUCGCUGAGUCUUUGGACUCACCCCUCGUGGACUUUGUUUCAGGUACAUCACCGUGAGGCUUUGCAAGUAUUAGGAAGGGCGUAGCUCCCAUGGGUGUUCACUCACACAUUUCACACCCCUUCCAUCCACCUAGCUGAUCAUGAUAACUCUCAUACUUAGUUCAUGAUUCUUGGUAGCUAGGAUGUACUUGUAGUGUAUAAAAUCUGCCUUGGUUUGUUUCCAUGAUCACUAUGUUUACCUGUGAAG